AACCCUUGUCAUUAGUUGCUACAUUUGGUUGGGCACUCUAAUGAGACUGCCGGUGACAAGCCGGAGGAAGGUGGGGAUGACGUCAAGUCCUCAUGGCCCUUAUAGGUGGGGCUACACACGUCAUACAAUGGCUGGUACAAACGGGUUGCCAACCCGCGAGGGGGAGCUAAUCCCACAAAGCCAGUCGUAGUCCGGAUCGUAGUCUGCAACUCGACUACGUGAAGUCGGAAUCGCUAGUAAUCGUGGAUCAGAAUGUCACGGUGAAUACGUUCCCGGGUCUU
RNAcentral lists this ribosomal RNA (281 nucleotides) under uncultured Rhodoferax sp. RNAcentral's name for it is "partial 16S ribosomal RNA". It matches the Rfam family "Bacterial small subunit ribosomal RNA", at positions 1100 to 1382 of the family's 1533-position model. The record is from RNAcentral. Lineage: Bacteria; Pseudomonadati; Pseudomonadota; Betaproteobacteria; Burkholderiales; Comamonadaceae.